This 522-nucleotide ribosomal RNA is filed under the name uncultured bacterium. RNAcentral describes it as "bacterial SSU rRNA". It matches the Rfam family "Bacterial small subunit ribosomal RNA", at positions 777 to 1314 of the family's 1533-position model. The record is from RNAcentral.
AAUAGAUACCCAGGUAGUCCACGCCGUAAACGAUGGAUGCUAGCUGUUAGGAGUAUCGACCCUCCUAGUAGCGUAGCUAACGCGUUAAGCAUCCCGCCUGUGGAGUACGAGCGCAAGCUUAAAACAUAAAGGAAUUGACGGGGACCCGCACAAGCGGUGGAGCGUGUUGUUUAAUUCGAUGGUAAGCGAAGAACCUUACCCAGGCUUGACAUCCUGCCAAAGACUCCGAAAGGAGACUGUGCCUUCGGGCCGCAGUGACAGGUGAUGCAUGGCCGUCGUCAGCUCGUGUCGUGAGAUGUUUGGUUAAGUCCAUCAACGAGCGCAACCCCUAUGACUAGUUGUAUUUCUCUAGUCAGACUGCCCUGGCAACAGGGAGGAAGGAGGGGAUGAUGUCAGGUCAGUAUCUCCCUUACGCCUGGGGCUACAAACACGCUACAAUGGCCGGUACAAAGGGCAGCCAACCCGCGAGGGGAGCAAAUCCCAUCAAAGCCGGUCUCAGUUCGGAUUGCAGGCUGAAACUCG